RNAcentral lists this small RNA (59 nucleotides) under uncultured Ferdinandcohnia sp. RNAcentral describes it as "Bacillaceae-1 RNA". It matches the Rfam family "Bacillaceae-1 RNA", at positions 5 to 61 of the family's 67-position model. Lineage: Bacteria; Bacillati; Bacillota; Bacilli; Caryophanales; Bacillaceae. The record is from RNAcentral.
GGAUGGAUCAAAGACUGAGGCCGCCACGUCCUGUGGUAACGUCCUUUUGACCCACCUCG